UGAGUAACACGUGAGUAACCUGCCCUUGACUCUGGGAUAAGCCUGGGAAACCGGGUCUAAUACCGGAUAUGACCUGUCACCGCAUGGUGGUGGGUGGAAAGCUUUUUUGUGGUUUUGGAUGGACUCGCGGCCUAUCAGCUUGUUGGUGAGGUAAUGGCUUACCAAGGCGACGACGGGUAGCCGGCCUGAGAGGGUGACCGGCCACACUGGGACUGAGACACGGCCCAGACUCCUACGGGAGGCAGCAGUGGGGAAUAUUGCACAAUGGGCGCAAGCCUGAUGCAGCGACGCCGCGUGAGGGAUGAAGGCCUUCGGGUUGUAAACCUCUUUCAGUAGGGAAGAAGCGAAAGUGACGGUACCUGCAGAAGAAGCGCCGGCUAACUACGUGCCAGCAGCCGCGGUAAUACGUAGGGCGCAAGCGUUAUCCGGAAUUAUUGGGCGUAAAGAGCUCGUAGGCGGUUUGUCGCGUCUGCCGUGAAAGUCCGGGGCUCAACUCCGGAUCUGCGGUGGGUACGGGCAGACUAGAGUGAUGUAGGGGAGACUGGAAUUCCUGGUGUAGCGGUGAAAUGCGCAGAUAUCAGGAGGAACACCGAUGGCGAAGGCAGGUCUCUGGGCAUUAACUGACGCUGAGGAGCGAAAGCAUGGGGAGCGAACAGGAUUAGAUACCCUGGUAGUCCAUGCCGUAAACGUUGGGCACUAGGUGUGGGGGACAUUCCACGUUUUCCGCGCCGUAGCUAACGCAUUAAGUGCCCCGCCUGGGGAGUACGGCCGCAAGGCUAAAACUCAAAGGAAUUGACGGGGGCCCGCACAAGCGGCGGAGCAUGCGGAUUAUUUCGAUGCAACGCGAAGAACCUUACCAAGGCUGGACAUGAACCGGAAAACGCCUGGAAGACAGGUGCCCCCGCUUGCGGGCCUGUUUUACAGGGUGGUGCAUGGUUGUCGUCAGCUCGUGUCGUGAGAUGUUGGGUUAAGUGCCGCAACGAGCGCAACGCUCUUUCUAUGUUGCCAGCGCGUGAUGGCGGGGACUCAUAGGAGACUGCCGGGGUCAACUCGGAGGAAGGUGGGGACGACGUCAAAUCAUCAUGCUCGUUAUGUCUUGGGCUUCACGCAUGCUACAAUGGCCGGUACAAAGGGUUGCGAUACUGUGAGGUGGAGCUAAUCCCAAAAAGCCGGUCUCAGUUCGGAUUGGGGUCUGCAACUCGUCCCCAUGAAGUC
Molecule: ribosomal RNA, 1215 nt
Filed under: Pseudarthrobacter polychromogenes
Lineage: Bacteria; Bacillati; Actinomycetota; Actinomycetes; Micrococcales; Micrococcaceae
Description: bacterial SSU rRNA
Rfam family: Bacterial small subunit ribosomal RNA
Source: RNAcentral